AUACGGAGGGGACAAGCGUUAUUCGGAAUCACUGGGCGUAAAGGACGCGUAGGCGGGUUAUUAAGUCGGGUGUGAAAUCCAAUGGCUCAACCAUUGAACUGCAUUCGAAACUGAUAUCCUAGAGUAUGGAAGGGGCAGGUGGAAUUGGUGGUGUAGGGGUAAAAUCCGUAGAUAUCACUAGGAAUACCGAAAGCGAAGGCGACCUGCUGGAACAUUACUGACGCUGAGGCGUGAAAGCGUGGGGAGCAAACAGGAUUAGAAACCCCGGUAGUCC
RNAcentral lists this ribosomal RNA (274 nucleotides) under uncultured bacterium. Its description in RNAcentral is "partial 16S ribosomal RNA". It matches the Rfam family "Bacterial small subunit ribosomal RNA", at positions 523 to 796 of the family's 1533-position model. The record is from RNAcentral.